GACCGCUCUGGUGGCCUAGUGGUUAGAGAAUCUGCCUUGGGUGCAGGAGGUCAUGAGAUCAAACACCAGCCAAGUCA
Non-coding RNA from Potamilus streckersoni, 77 nucleotides. The record is from the annotation of a GenBank genome assembly. Lineage: Eukaryota; Metazoa; Mollusca; Bivalvia; Unionida; Unionidae.